AUUGAACGCUGGCGGAAUGCUUUACACAUGCAAGUCGAACGGCAGCACGGACUUCGGUCUGGUGGCGAGUGGCGAACGGGUGAGUAAUGUAUCGGAACGUGCCCAGUCGUGGGGGAUAACGUAGUGAAAAUCACGCUAAUACCGCAUACGAUCUAUGGAUGAAAGCGGGGGAUCGCAAGACCUCGCGCGAUUGGAGCGGCCGAUAUCAGAUUAGGUAGUUGGUGGGGUAAAGGCCCACCAAGCCAACGAUCUGUAGCUGGGCUGAGAGGACGGCCAGCAAUACUGGAACUGAGACACGGUCCAGACUCCUACGUGAGGCAGCAGUGGGGAAUUUUGGACAAUGGGCGUAAGCCUGAUCCAGCCAUUCCGCGUGCAGGAUGAAUGCCCUCGGGUUGUAAACUGCUUUUGUACAGAACGAAAAGGUUUCUACUAAUACUAGGAGCUCAUGACGGUACUGUAAGAAUAAGCACCGGCUAACUACGUGCCAGCCGCCGCCGCGG
This 500-nucleotide ribosomal RNA is filed under the name uncultured bacterium. Its description in RNAcentral is "partial 16S ribosomal RNA". It matches the Rfam family "Bacterial small subunit ribosomal RNA", at positions 30 to 523 of the family's 1533-position model. The record is from RNAcentral.